GACGUAGGAUGCGAGCGUUGUCCGGAUUUAUUGGGCGUAAAGAGUUCGUAGGCGGCCUAUCAAGUCUGGUGUUAAAGACCGGGGCUCAACUCCGGGAAGGCAUUGGAUACUGAUAAGCUAGAGUGCAGAAGAGGCAAGGGGAAUUCCCAGUGUAGCGGUGAAAUGCGUAGAUAUUGGGAGGAACACCGGUGGCGUAAGCGCCUUGCUGGGCUGUUACUGACGCUGAGGAACGAAAGCCAGGGGAG
Molecule: ribosomal RNA, 245 nt
Filed under: uncultured bacterium
Lineage: Bacteria
Description: partial 16S ribosomal RNA
Rfam family: Bacterial small subunit ribosomal RNA
Source: RNAcentral